GCCUUCUUGGCUCAGUGGUAGAGCGUCGCACUCGUAACUUGGUUCGUCAUGCGAAGGUCCACGGUUCAAUCCCGUGAGGAGGCA
Molecule: transfer RNA, 84 nt
Organism: Colletotrichum sublineola
Lineage: Eukaryota; Fungi; Ascomycota; Sordariomycetes; Glomerellales; Glomerellaceae
Rfam family: tRNA
About the family: Transfer RNA (tRNA) molecules are approximately 80 nucleotides in length. Their secondary structure includes four short double-helical elements and three loops (D, anti-codon, and T loops). Further hydrogen bonds mediate the characteristic L-shaped molecular structure. tRNAs have two regions of fundamental functional importance: the anti-codon, which is responsible for specific mRNA codon recognition, and the 3' end, to which the tRNAs corresponding amino acid is attached (by aminoacyl-tRNA synthetases). tRNAs cope with the degeneracy of the genetic code in two manners: having more than one tRNA (with a specific anti-codon) for a particular amino acid; and 'wobble' base-pairing, i.e. permitting non-standard base-pairing at the 3rd anti-codon position.
Source: Rfam